Molecule: ribosomal RNA, 2925 nt
Filed under: Escherichia coli
Lineage: Bacteria; Pseudomonadati; Pseudomonadota; Gammaproteobacteria; Enterobacterales; Enterobacteriaceae
Description: 23S ribosomal RNA
Rfam family: Bacterial large subunit ribosomal RNA
Source: RNAcentral
GGGUUGUGAGGUUAAGCGACUAAGCGUACACGGUGGAUGCCCUGGCAGUCAGAGGCGAUGAAGGACGUGCUAAUCUGCGAUAAGCGUCGGUAAGGUGAUAUGAACCGUUAUAACCGGCGAUUUCCGAAUGGGGAAACCCAGUGUGUUUCGACACACUAUCAUUAACUGAAUCCAUAGGUUAAUGAGGCGAACCGGGGGAACUGAAACAUCUAAGUACCCCGAGGAAAAGAAAUCAACCGAGAUUCCCCCAGUAGCGGCGAGCGAACGGGGAGCAGCCCAGAGCCUGAAUCAGUGUGUGUGUUAGUGGAAGCGUCUGGAAAGGCGCGCGAUACAGGGUGACAGCCCCGUACACAAAAAUGCACAUACUGUGAGCUCGAUGAGUAGGGCGGGACACGUGGUAUCCUGUCUGAAUAUGGGGGGACCAUCCUCCAAGGCUAAAUACUCCUGACUGACCGAUAGUGAACCAGUACCGUGAGGGAAAGGCGAAAAGAACCCCGGCGAGGGGAGUGAAAAAGAACCUGAAACCGUGUACGUACAAGCAGUGGGAGCCUCUUAAUGGGGUGACUGCGUACCUUUUGUAUAAUGGGUCAGCGACUUAUAUUCUGUAGCAAGGUUAACCGAAUAGGGGAGCCGAAGGGAAACCGAGUCUUAACUGGGCGUUAAGUUGCAGGGUAUAGACCCGAAACCCGGUGAUCUAGCCAUGGGCAGGUUGAAGGUUGGGUAACACUAACUGGAGGACCGAACCGACUAAUGUUGAAAAAUUAGCGGAUGACUUGUGGCUGGGGGUGAAAGGCCAAUCAAACCGGGAGAUAGCUGGUUCUCCCCGAAAGCUAUUUAGGUAGCGCCUCGUGAAUUCAUCUCCGGGGGUAGAGCACUGUUUCGGCAAGGGGGUCAUCCCGACUUACCAACCCGAUGCAAACUGCGAAUACCGGAGAAUGUUAUCACGGGAGACACACGGCGGGUGCUAACGUCCGUCGUGAAGAGGGAAACAACCCAGACCGCCAGCUAAGGUCCCAAAGUCAUGGUUAAGUGGGAAACGAUGUGGGAAGGCCCAGACAGCCAGGAUGUUGGCUUAGAAGCAGCCAUCAUUUAAAGAAAGCGUAAUAGCUCACUGGUCGAGUCGGCCUGCGCGGAAGAUGUAACGGGGCUAAACCAUGCACCGAAGCUGCGGCAGCGACACUAUGUGUUGUUGGGUAGGGGAGCGUUCUGUAAGCCUGCGAAGGUGUACUGUGAGGUAUGCUGGAGGUAUCAGAAGUGCGAAUGCUGACAUAAGUAACGAUAAAGCGGGUGAAAAGCCCGCUCGCCGGAAGACCAAGGGUUCCUGUCCAACGUUAAUCGGGGCAGGGUGAGUCGACCCCUAAGGCGAGGCCGAAAGGCGUAGUCGAUGGGAAACAGGUUAAUAUUCCUGUACUUGGUGUUACUGCGAAGGGGGGACGGAGAAGGCUAUGUUGGCCGGGCGACGGUUGUCCCGGUUUAAGCGUGUAGGCUGGUUUUCCAGGCAAAUCCGGAAAAUCAAGGCUGAGGCGUGAUGACGAGGCACUACGGUGCUGAAGCAACAAAUGCCCUGCUUCCAGGAAAAGCCUCUAAGCAUCAGGUAACAUCAAAUCGUACCCCAAACCGACACAGGUGGUCAGGUAGAGAAUACCAAGGCGCUUGAGAGAACUCGGGUGAAGGAACUAGGCAAAAUGGUGCCGUAACUUCGGGAGAAGGCACGCUGAUAUGUAGGUGAAGUCCCUUGCGGAUGGAGCUGAAAUCAGUCGAAGAUACCAGCUGGCUGCAACUGUUUAUUAAAAACACAGCACUGUGCAAACACGAAAGUGGACGUAUACGGUGUGACGCCUGCCCGGUGCCGGAAGGUUAAUUGAUGGGGUUAGCGGUAACGCGAAGCUCUUGAUCGAAGCCCCGGUAAACGGCGGCCGUAACUAUAACGGUCCUAAGGUAGCGAAAUUCCUUGUCGGGUAAGUUCCGACCUGCACGAAUGGCGUAAUGAUGGCCAGGCUGUCUCCACCCGAGACUCAGUGAAAUUGAACUCGCUGUGAAGAUGCAGUGUACCCGCGGCAAGACGGAAAGACCCCGUGAACCUUUACUAUAGCUUGACACUGAACAUUGAGCCUUGAUGUGUAGGAUAGGUGGGAGGCUUUGAAGUGUGGACGCCAGUCUGCAUGGAGCCGGCCUUGAAAUACCACCCUUUAAUGUUUGAUGUUCUAACGUUGGCCCCUGAUCGGGGUUGCGGACAGUGUCUGGUGGGUAGUUUGACUGGGGCGGUCUCCUCCUAAAGAGUAACGGAGGAGCACGAAGGUUGGCUAAUCCUGGUCGGACAUCAGGAGGUUAGUGCAAUGGCAUAAGCCAGCUUGACUGCGAGCGUGACGGCGCGAGCAGGUGCGAAAGCAGGUCAUAGUGAUCCGGUGGUUCUGAAUGGAAGGGCCAUCGCUCAACGGAUAAAAGGUACUCCGGGGAUAACAGGCUGAUACCGCCCAAGAGUUCAUAUCGACGGCGGUGUUUGGCACCUCGAUGUCGGCUCAUCACAUCCUGGGGCUGAAGUAGGUCCCAAGGGUAUGGCUGUUCGCCAUUUAAAGUGGUACGCGAGCUGGGUUUAGAACGUCGUGAGACAGUUCGGUCCCUAUCUGCCGUGGGCGCUGGAGAACUGAGGGGGGCUGCUCCUAGUACGAGAGGACCGGAGUGGACGCAUCACUGGUGUUCGGGUUGUCAUGCCAAUGGCACUGCCCGGUAGCUAAAUGCGGAAGAGAUAAGUGCUGAAAGCAUCUAAGCACGAAACUUGCCCCGAGAUGAGUUCUCCCUGACUCCUUGAGAGUCCUGAAGGAACGUUGAAGACGACGACGUUGAUAGGCCGGGUGUGUAAGCGCAGCGAUGCGUUGAGCUAACCGGUACUAAUGAACCGUGAGGCUUAACCUUACAACGCCGAAG